GCGGAGGAAAAGAAACCAACAGGGAUUGCCUCAGUAACGGCGAGUGAAGCGGCAAAAGCUCAAAUUUGAAAUCUAGCACCUUCGGUGUUUGAGUUGUAAUUUGAAGAUGGUAACCUUGGGUUUGGCUCUUGUCUAUGUUCCUUGGAACAGGACGUCAUAGAGGGUGAGAAUCCCGUCUGAUGAGAUGCCCAUUCCUAUGUAAGGUGCUAUCGAAGAGUCGAGUUGUUUGGGAAUGCAGCUCUAAGUGGGUGGUAAAUUCCAUCUAAAGCUAAAUAUUGGCGAGAGACCGAUAGCGAACAAGUACAGUGAUGGAAAGAUGAAAAGAACUUUGAAAAGAGAGUGAAAAAGUACGUGAAAUUGUUGAAAGGGAAGGGCAUUAGAUCAGACUUGGUGUUUUACGAUUAUCUUCUCUUCUUGAGUUGUGCACUCGUAUUUCACUGGGCCAGCAUCGAUUCGGAUGGCAAGAUAAUGGCAGUUGAAUGUGGCUUCACUUCGGUGGAGUGUUAUAGCUUCUGCUGAUAUUGCCUGUCUGGAUCGAGGGCUGCGUCUUUUGACUAGGAUGCUGGCGUAAUGAUCUAAUGCCGCCCGUCUUG
This 593-nucleotide ribosomal RNA is filed under the name Hansenula anomala. RNAcentral's name for it is "eukaryotic LSU rRNA". It matches the Rfam family "Eukaryotic large subunit ribosomal RNA", at positions 50 to 656 of the family's 3401-position model. Lineage: Eukaryota; Fungi; Ascomycota; Saccharomycetes; Phaffomycetales; Wickerhamomycetaceae. The record is from RNAcentral.